Episyrphus balteatus (marmalade hoverfly) is the source of this 4151-nucleotide long non-coding RNA. RefSeq lists it as uncharacterized. The record is from RefSeq and is a predicted model, not a curated record. Lineage: Eukaryota; Metazoa; Arthropoda; Insecta; Diptera; Syrphidae. The transcript has 3 exons.
AUUCUAAAGUUAUUAAAUUAAGGAAAAUGUUAGGUAAAAACGCAUAGUAAGGAAAAUAGGAAACAAACAUAAUAUUUUCACAUUCAAAACAGAGAAAAGUUUAGAAAUGUUUUUUUUAUUUCAUGUUUUUAUGACUAGUACCACGUUUACACGAAGCCUAAUGCUAUAUUUCACGUCUAUUUUAUAUUUUGUAUCGUUCGUAAUGGUGUAGAUGGUCUUUUUUGUUCCGAAAUCAACCAGUGUUAAGGUUAUAUGUUAGAUUUGUUUAAACGUGGAUUUCCUAAAGUUUUGUUUCACCAUGCAAAUCUUUUAAAGAUGUCCAAGUUUUCAUCCGUCUUCAUGUCCUGUGUAAAUCUGCAUUAUGGUCAGUUCAGAAAAUCCAUAUCGUGAUUCGUGAGAGCACCUCGUUGAAUUGGAGAGUUAGAUUGUCAAAAGCCAGCUUAACCAAUACAUGUGUUGAGGAAUGUGAAUACCCUUGUACAUACACGGAAGUGAUUAAGUAGAGGUGUGAAUCGGGUCAUAAACCAAAUAUACCAAGACUGGAAACUCGGCGGUCAACUGACGUUUGCCUACAAGCUGCGAGGUGUGGUGAAUGUCGUGAACUUAUCGUUGUGUUCGUGUCCGAUUUGUGGUGAAUGUCGUGAAUCUAUAAAUGUGUGCGUGUUAACGUCAUUUACCAACGUGGUGGCUUUCACAUAUAUUCACAGACAACACUGUACACAAAAGGGUUUUGGGGGGAAAGACUUACGAAAGUUUCCAGUCUUGGUAUUUUUUGUUUAUGAAUCGGGUGAUGUUUAUCCAGUUAUGGUGAUCAUGCGAUACGAAUUUUUGGAGUUUCUCCAGCAAAUGUCAAAGUUAUUCUUCUUUCUUUUCCUCAUUUAAAAUGGGGCUUUUGACUUCUCACCGAAAUCUUGUCAUUCUAAAGUUAUUCAAGAAACAGAUCGGUUGAGCUAUUGCUGCCAAAGUUAACUUUCGAAGAAAAAAAAAAAAAGAAAAUCAGUAGACCGACAUAUUGUUUAAAAUAAAAUUUAUUUGUUUAAAAUAAAACGGAAAAUUAAACUGUGUUAAAAGUUCCUCUCGGUAAAUUUAAACAUAAAACCAAGUGUUUAGACAAUAUUAAAUUUUUGUUGCCAUAUUUUUUUUUAGAACCCUUUAAUAAAGUAAAAACUUUACAACAUUUUUUUAUACUUUUGUGUGGUGAACCUUACAACUUACAAAAAAAAAAAGAAUAAAAGUGGUUGACUUUCGGCGGUCCCAGAUUAUAAUACAAGGACUGGGCCGCCGCACCAUAAAAAUAAAAUAAAAUAAAAUUAUUUUUGAUGCUGUUUUUUUAAAUAUUCCUGGCUCACGGAAUUUCGACGUGGAAUUAUUGAAGCCUAAUUAUCUUCUGGCGAACCCAAGACUACGGGCAAUAUUAGAUUGGUUUCGCAACUGUCAGUUCAGCGGGAACAAGCAAAAACCUCAAAGGCACAGGGCCCCAACCGCCCAAAAAUCUGGGGCUCCGCCACCUAUAAAAGAAGCUGAAAAGAAACAGUAUCAGUGAGUGCUAGACAAUAAGAAAUAAGAGUAAAAUUUCAAAAGAUAGAACCACGAUUAUAAUUCCAACAAGACCAAAGAAAACAAAGUGGAAAUUGAAACAAGAACAGAAAAAGAAAGAAACAAAAAAUGAAAUUAGGUGUUAGUGAUUGUCCGUUAUUUAUUGAAAACUAUAUUACUUAUUAAAGCGUCAAAGUUUAGCUAAUUAAUUAUUAUUUAUUUUAUUUUUAAAUCUAUAUUUAUUAAUUUCAUUAAAUUUAUAUCUUUGUAAGUGAUAGAAAAUAAUUCCUCAGAGGUCGGCACGUUGUCUGAAAUUUUUUGUUGUUUUUCCUAGGGGUAAAAACCAACCUCCAAAGAGCUCUCUAGGGGUAGGGAAUCCUGGGACGUUUUUUUUUGUUGUUGUUAAGUUAGUGUUGGUACCGCAAAGGGUAUCCUAGUUUUUUUUUGUUGUUGUUCUGUGACUCAAAGGAAUCAUUUUUUUGUCGCGUUUUGCAUUUUUUUCGUAGUGUUAAUUUUUUUUGUUAAUUUAUUUUUCUUUGUUAAAUUAAACUAUGUUACAAAUUAUUUCUUACCAACUAAAAUUUAUUUUCAUAAAGAAUAAAACUUGAAAGACGCCCAUGUUUUUUUUGGAAAAAAAGAGAAACUUUUUAGUUGUUUUGUUUCUGUUUCACUUGGGUGAAACCAUGAUCCUUUAAAGAAAUUUUCAGGGGUGCAGACGGUAGCUGAGUUUCAACGAUGGUAAGGACCUGAUUUCCCGUGGAACGACAACGUAUUUGGGAGAAUCCCAAAAUGGCCGAGGAUUCUCAUGGUUGGGUGGGUAAAAGGCCACACUGCAAUAACACCGGCAGUGCCCUUGGGGUGGUGAACGUCCGUCCGCGUCAACUUUUGAGUUUAGUUGUUAGUACACCGGCCUGAUUUAUGUUUUUGGCUGCUGGUGAAGUUUACUUCCGGGAACAAGAUCCCCCCCACAUCCGACGAGCUGAAGCUGCGCACAGCAAGCAGGCCAAGUUCUCGGGAGUAGACACUCUUACCCUUUUUCACUGUGUUCCUCUUUCCUUUCCAGAUGUUCCUGCCACGGUAUGGUAGUUUCACUGCCUUAUCGACUCUUCCUUAUCCACGCUCCUCUCCCCUCCACUAACCAGCAACAAGGGGUUGAUUUGUUUCGAACUUUUCCGAAUAAUUCUUUUUUAUUUCGAAACAAAAAGGUCGCCUGGGGAUUAGAUUUCUAUAGGAUUUUUCCGUACUAAAGGUAAGAACAAUGGAAUUAGUAGUUCAAUGUUUAUUUUUUUGUUUAAUUGGAUAAUUUUUCUAAUUGGAUUUACAGCAUAACAUUAACUGGUUUCUCAUGGACUCAUAGAGCACGUGGUUGUAGAUUGCAGGUGGAAGUUCUUAAUACUACACUCGGGGAUGCUCAUCGUGGUGAACAUUCUUACCCGGUAAAACGUAGAAGAAAAAAAUUCUUGCCCGGUGAAAAAUGAUUUUUGCUCAAAUAGAACUCAAAUCCAUGCGGAAUGGUUUUGGGUGCCAAAAAAAAAUUGUUUAGCUUAGGGAUGGCGGUUGUUAGUACAAAAACCGGUUUUCGGUUUUUCCGGUUUUUUUCUCUCGAUUAAACAGGCCGGUUUUGAACCGGGCCAAAAAACCGGUUUUUGGAAAAACCGUGGCUACACGGUGAUUUUUGAAUCGCCUAAGGGGGAAGAUGCUCACGAAGGGAACUGAAUUUUCGGAGGGCAGUACAGUUCCAUUUCUAAAUUUUUCUUCUUUUUGACGUUUGUUCCUAGAAAAUGUAAAAGUGGAACGUGAUUGGGCACAACAGUGUGUAGCCACUGCAUGUGAUUUUUCAAUCGAUUGAAAAAUCGCUGUGUAGCCAGGCACUAUUGUUAUAAGAGUUCUUAACUCACUCUUAGUAGGAGUUUUGAGGAAUUGUUUAAGCUAAAUAUGAAUGAAAAUUUAUGAUUAUAUGUUAUAGUUAGUUGAGAGAGGAAAUGAAAGUUUUGAGGGUUUUCAGUUUUUUGUCUCGUCGGAUCUUUUUUUGUUCGACGUUUUUUUUCACUCGGUUUAUUUUCGGUUGCUCGGUUUUUUUGCAAAAACCGGUUUAAACCGGGAGAACAAAAAAACCAAAAAAAACCGGUUGACCGAAUCAAAAAAACCGAAAUCGGUUCAAACCGGCUGGUUUUUCCCAUCCCUAGUUUAGCUACCAUUUUGAACUUGGUUGAACAAAUUUUCGUCCGUAGGGAGCAAUCCAUGUUAUAAGCCGGGCUUAAUUUAGGCUUGGCAGUUUCAUUCAGAAAAAAAAAUCUCAAUUGACGCAGACAUAACUGUUCAGACAACUUAUUACGGGAUCAAGAAUUCAAGGUUAACUUAUUUCAACUUUAGACAUCAUAAUUCCAGGACAAGAAACUAUCCCAUAUCUACGUUGCAGAAGUGGAGAGAAAAACCGGUGAGUGAUUAUAAGUUUUAUUUUAAUUAAUUAUAAGAACUAGCCUGACAUUUAAAGGUCAUGUAUUUGAUACAUAAAUUAAGGUUCAAAAGAAGCUAACAAAAAAAAUUUAAAAACAAUUAACACAAAUCAUGCUUAAAUACAAUGGUAACAGAAAAUAAUUAAUAAAAAUACAGUG